ACACAUUUCAAAGAAAAUUUAUUUAUUUAAUUCCACGCAAACGAAGUUGUGGGCGGCAGGUAAGUAGUCCGACAUAAUUAUAGGCUAUUAUAGUAAAAUAUUUUUUAAGAAAUAUGUAGGGCCAUCUCAUCCAUUACCAUCAGCCACCCAACAUUAUAACAUAACACAGACAUCAUCCAGGCGUCACUAGGCUGCUGAGGAAAGAAAAUAGAAUAGUACGUUUUGGAAAAUAAUGAAACAAUUCGUCUCUGUACUAUACGAGUAUACGUAUUAAAAUUAAAAGUCUCGGGGAUCGAACUCAGAUACUUUGCGAACAAUUAGUGCCAAGCCAAAACAUACGCUCGAUCGUACCUCUAAGCUAAACCGAAAAAGUGGCAGAUUAUGAUGUUGACUCCACGGUAGACAUUAUAAGUAAUAUGGGACUGGUCAUCAUUAUCCCAAGAAAAAUCGAAGAAAUACAGGAGAAUCCCAAUUUGUAAUUGCAAUUUGUCUAAAUUCCAAUUUGUAAUAGCACAGCAUGGCCGUGAGCUCCAUUCCCAGUAAAUAAAAAGUUAAAAACCAUGAUUACGCGAAGCAGAAUUUUGACUGCACGAAACAGCGACAUCUACGUGUAAACUUAUCUAAAUGUACGGAUAUUUGUUCAACUUUCAAUUGUAAUUUAUAUAUAAGAUACCUAUUUAUAUUCAAUUGUAAUUUAUUUUUGUUUUUGUACAUAAGGCCGUAGGCCCGACGUGAGGUUGUCAAGACACUUUUCCUAUUGGGUCGUGUUUAAGCUCCAACUUUCCCCCUCUCGUGUGACGCUUCGGGCCUUCAACCCUACGCGGAACUUCGGCCUUCGGCCUUCGCGAGCCUCGACAAUACUUAACUUUGAGUGUAUACCCUAAAAAUCUACCGAUCACUACCUGGUAGGUACAUACCUCUGUACCUGUAUUCUUUUUGUAUGAUGGACUUUUAAAAUUACAGGUGAACCCCAUGUUUCCAACCAACAAGACAAACGAAAGAGACUGCAGGCUACACAAGUACUACUAUUGGAUAUCUAGCAGAACACAAGAAGAGUCUCAAGGCUGCAGGAGUGCACUUAAACAGCGGACGAUUUAUAAAUAGUUACGAAAAGAAGGUACUUAGUUCCAAAAGCUGCAGAACAAUGUUACGGGCUGUGACUCCAAUCUCAGGCGGUUGGUAAAGAACUUGUGCGGUAGUUUUCUAAUAGAAGGCAACUGAACUUUGGGACUAAAACUAAUUAAAAAAUAUUAUACUUUUCUCAGUGAACAUAAUAAAAAUGACCUUGAUCCAGGCAGCCUACGGACUGGGUCAGUUAGUAACUUCUUACCAAUCGCCUCAGGCCUCUCACUAAAGUCCAAGAAGCAGCGAGCAGGAGGGACCGAAAGUCAAUGAGUAAAUUUUUCACUCGACGACUAUUUAAGGCACAUCACACACUACCUGAAUCAGUACCUAAUAGUCAAAUGGCACCUGUCUUUUUGUAUAAUACCGGUUAUUACAUCUAACCGGGGCCCAGGGCACUCUUUGUAGGAAGGCCGGUCAACGGUUGCUAUACCAUCCUAGUAAGCAUUCUUACAGCAGUUUUCCGUUAUACUUAAUAUCUAAUAAUACGUAACCCUUCGUAUGCCUUUGUUAAACAUUUGCUACUGAUUUAAUAACCUACUGAUAUGAAUGAAAAUUGUAAAUUACAGUCCAAAUUGUGUGGUACGUACUACCACGUACACGGGACAAGGCAUACGAAAUUUUAAGAGGAAAUAGGACAGCCGCUUCAAACAAACGUAGUCCCCAUUUUGCUCUCAGGAUAUUGACAUUAUGGAAAAUUAUUUUUACAUAUUUUAAUUUAUACUUAUUAUUCUUAUUAACUAUUAUUACUUAGCUAUGCCUCUACGUAUGACAUUUUUCUCUGCAGCUGACUGGUGGCAGACUCUCCAACGCGUUCGGUCCCUAUAAGCUAUAGCUCAAUAAAUUCAAAAAAUAAAACGAUGCGGCAUGUCUGUGAUUGAUAUGUACCUACUUGACAUCAAAUUGUGUAAAAAUAUUAUAAAUUAUAAAUUGAAAUAGAUGAUUUGUUAUGAAAGGUGAUUUUGCGCCGGUCGACUUUUCAAAUAGUUAUUGUUAACGAUCUUUUGAUAUUUUGUGAAAGGGUAACAGCCCAAAAUGUAAAAAAAAAAACAAAAAGUUCUCCCGUGGCGGGAAUUGAACCCAGGUCACAAGCGAACACUUUGCGUUGGGCCAAGCAUACAUAGAUCUGCUUGCUAGAUUAAGACCAAGAUAACUCUGCAGAGAUUUUCAUAGUAGUCGAUUAACAAAAUAUCUUUAAUAAUGUUAGUUAUAAAUUGAAAUAUAUGUCCAUCUAUCCAGAGAUAAAUCUAUCCUGUCAUCCACUUUUAUUCUAUAAAAAUGAACUACAUUCAUUUAACGUUUUUAGCAAAUCAAGAUAAAACAAUUUAAAACAUUGUUAACGAUCUUCUGAUAUUUUGUGAAACGGAAAAGUAACGGAAAAAAUAAAAAUAAUAAUAAACAAAAAGUUCACCCUAGGUGGGAUUCGAACCCGGGGUCACAAUGCGUGCACACUUUAUGCAACCAUGUUCUAAACCUUAUUACAAAAAGCAUAAAGUCCACCGAUGGAUAGUUAAGAGUAUUGCUGUUUGAACCUAAGCCGGUUUUCUGAAAGGAGAAACUCAGCGCAAAAAGUAAAAAAAAAAAAACGAAAAAGUUGACCGAUGGCGGGAAUAGAACCCAAGUCACAAGCGAACACUUUGUGCUAAGUCAAACAUACCUAAGCUGCUAGCUAGAUUCAGACCAGACAUGCAAGUGUUAUAUUUUAAAUGUCAAACAGCUAUGAAAUUAUGACUUUAAAAUAACACUUUGCAAGUCUUUGCUUUGAAAAACACUGCAGCGUUACCUUGGUCUUACUCUGCCACCCUAGUUAGUAAGCAUGCUAAAAGCAGUUUUCCAGAAUUAUUAGUCGAUUAAUGUCUACAAGGAAAAAUGACAAAUUAUAAUAAUGUAAAAAAAAAACCGCCCAAGUGCAUGUCAGUAUCGCGCACGAAGGGUUCCGUUACUCAAAAACCCUAAAAACGGGAAAAAAUCACGUUUGUUGUAUGGGAGCCCCAUUUAAAUAUUUAUUAUAAUCUGUUUUUAGUAUUUGUUGUUAUAGCGGCAACAGAAAUACAUCAUAUGUGAACAUUUCAACUGCCUAGCUAUCACGGUUCAUGAGGUACAGCCUGGUGACAGACAGACGAACAGACAGUCUCAGAUAACGGUUAAGUAUACUAUUCAGUUAUAUUAGUGUGACAGAGACAUUGGGCGUUUCGUUCGCUACGGAGUGUAAACGAUUUGCAACUUGGCUAAGCACCCAGCUUCCUCGCACAUCUCUGGUGGAAACGCAGCCUAAACCUGUCAUUUUAAGCAUCGCCUUGGUUACAUUGAUUUAGAAAAUACGAUUCUCGACAUUUUUUUUCGGACUAUUCACAGUUAGACUUUUAGUUUCAUUUUUGUACUUCGUUAUUGAUACUUUUAGUCUUUUAAAUUUCUUGACAAUAAUAGGUAUUUAGACAUUUUAGGCGUUAUCCGUUUUCCGUUCCACAUAAUAUCAGGACACUGUUACGUCCGUUACCAAUAUACUUUUUAAGAGGAAAGGUGUCGAAAAAAUAUUAAUCAUUGAAUAUUAUCGGCAAUUCAAGGCAAAUAUUUUUUUUUAUUUUAAAAUAUUGUAAACAAUCUUCUGAUAUUUUGUGAAACGGAAAAGUAACGGAAAAAAAUAAAAAUAAUAAUAAACAAAAAGUUCACCCUAGGUGGGAUUCGAACCCGGGGUCACAAUGCGUGCACACUUUAUGAAACCAUGUUCUAAACCUUAUUACAAAAAGCAUAAGGUCCACCGAUGGAUAGUUAAGAGUAUUGCUGUUUGUACCUAAGCCGGUUUUCUGAAAGGAGAAACUCAGCGCAAAAAGUAAAAAAAAAAAACGAAAAAGUUGACCGAUGGCGGGAAUAGAACCCAAGUCACAAGCGAACACUUUGUGCUAAGUCAAACAUACCUAAGCUGCAAGCUAGAUUCAGACCAGACAUGCAAGUGUUAUAUUUUAAAUGUCAAACAGCUAUGAAAUUAUGACUUUAAAAUAACACUUUGCAAGUCUUUGCUUUGAAAAACACUGCAGCGUUACCUUGGUCUUACUCUGCCACCCUAGUUAGUAAGCAUGCUAAAAGCAGUUUUCCAGAAUUAUUAGUCGAUUAAUGUCUACAAGGAAAAAUGACAAAUUAUAAUAAUGUAAAAAAAAAACCGCCCAAGUGCAUGUCAGUAUCGCGCACGAAGGGUUCCGUUACUCAAAAACCCUAAAAACGGGAAAAAAUCACGUUUGUUGUAUGGGAGCCCCAUUUAAAUAUUUAUUAUAAUCUGUUUUUAGUAUUUGUUGUUAUAGCGGCAACAGAAAUACAUCAUGUGUGAACAUUUCAACUGCCUAGCUAUCACGGUUCAUGAGGUACAGCCUGGUGACAGACAGACGAACAGACAGUCUCAGAUAACGGUUAAGUAUACUAUUCAGUUAUAUUAGUGUGACAGAGACAUUGGGCGUUUCGUUCGCUACGGAGUGUAAACGAUUUGCAACUUGGCUAAGCACCCAGCUUCCUCGCACAUCUCUGGUGGAAACGCAGCCUAAACCUGUCAUUUUAAGCAUCGCCUUGGUUACAUUGAUUUAGAAAAUACGAUUCUCGACAUUUUUUUUCGGACUAUUCACAGUUAGACUUUUAGUUUCAUUUUUGUACUUCGUUAUUGAUACUUUUAGUCUUUUAAAUUUCUUGACAAUAAUAGGUAUUUAGACAUUUUAGGCGUUAUCCGUUUUCCGUUCCACAUAAUAUCAGGACACUGUUACGUCCGUUACCAAUAUACUUUUUAAGAGGAAAGGUCUCGAAAAAAUAUUAAUCAUUGAAUAUUAUCGGCAAUUCAAGGCAAAUAUUUUUUUUUAUUUUAAAAUAUUGUAAACAAUCUUCUGAUAUUUUGUGAAACGGAAAAGUAACGGAAAAAAAUAAAAAUAAUAAUAAACAAAAAGUUCACCCUAGGUGGGAUUCGAACCCGGGGUCACAAUGCGUGCACACUUUAUGAAACCAUGUUCUAAACCUUAUUACAAAAAGCAUAAGGUCCACCGAUGGAUAGUUAAGAGUAUUGCUGUUUCUACCUAAGCCGGUUGUCUGAAAGGAAAAAUUCAGCGCAAAAAGUAAAAAAAAAAGGAAAAAAUUCACCGAUGGCGGGAAUAGAACCCAAGUCACAAGCGAAUACUUUGUGCUAAGUCAAACAUACCUAAGCUGCUAGCUAGAUUCAGACCAGACAUGCAAGUGUUAUAUUUUAAAUGUCAAACAGCUAUGACAUUAUGACUUUAAAAUAACACUUUGCAAGUCUUUGCUUUGAAAAACACUGCAACUAACGUUACCUUGGUCUUACUCUGCCACCCUAGUUAGUAAGCAUGCUAAAAGCAGUUUUUCCGGAAUUAUUAGUCGAUUAAUGUCUAUAAGGAAAAAUUACGAAUUAUAAUAAUGUAAAAAAAAACCGCCCAAGUGCAUGUCAGUAUCGCGCACGAAGGGUUCCGUUACUCAAAAAACGGGAAAAAACACGUUUGUUGUAUGGGAGCCCCAUUUAAAUAUUUAUUAUAAUCUGUUUUUAGUAUUUGUUGUUAUAGCGGCAACAGAAAUACAUCAUGUGUGAAAAUUUCAACUGCCUAGCUAUCACGGUUCAUGAGGUACAGCCUGGUGACAGACAGACGAACAGACAGUCUCAGAUAACGCGGUUAAGUAUACUAUUCAGUUAUAUUAGUGUGACAGAGACAUUGGGCGUUUCGUUCGCUACGGAGUGUAAACGAUUUGCAACUUGGCUAAGCACCCAGCUUCCUCGCACACCUCUGGUGGAAACGCAGCCUAAACCUGAGAUGUUAAGACAUCGCAUUGGUUACAUUGAUUUAGAAAAUACAAUUCUCGACAUUUUUUUUCGGACUAUUCACAGUUAGACUUAGUUUCAUUUUUGUACUUCGUUAUUGAUACUUUUAGUCUUUAAAAUUUUUUGGCAAUAAUAGGUAUUUAGACAUUUUAGACGUUAUUAUUUUUAGUCAUUUUUCCUUACGACAAUAGUCGCCUAAUUCGUUUUCCGUUCCACAUAUUAAUAUCAGGACACUGUUAUGUCCGUUACCAAUAUAUUUUUUAAGAGGAAAGGUGACGAAAAAAUAUUAAGCCUUGAAUAUUAUCGGCAAUACAAGGCAAUUUUUUUUUUAAUUUUAAAAUAUUGUUAACAAUCUUCUGAUAUUUUGUGAAACGGAAAAGUAACGGAAAAAAAUAAAAAUAUAAAUAAACAAAAAGUUCGCCCUAGGUGGGAUUCGAACCCGGGGUCACAAUGCGUGCACACUUUAUGCAACCAUGUUCUAAACCUUAUUACAAAAAGAAUAAGGUCCACCGAUGGAUAGUUAAGAGUAUUGCUGUUUGUACCUAAGCCAAUACUGCUACCGGCUGUGGUGCCGGUAGACAGGUAGAAUAACGUUUUUCGAUUUUGUGAUGUUGGCUGUAGUAGACCCUCAGAUAUCAUUCGCGCGCCAAAAGUCUAGCUGUAAAUUACAUUACGACUGUUACGAGUAAUAAAAGCCCGAUAUAAGUCGGUCAUAAAAUAAAAAAAUAAAUUGUUUAUUUCCGAAAAAUAUUUCUUGGAUACAGUAUAACAAAGCAUACUAAAGCUACUUAUUGUGUACCUACUUAACUGACGGAAGGGGCGCAGCUAUACGUUAUAGUUAUCGACAGUGAUAUCAGCAUUUCACUUCUACUCUACGUAUUGUUUACGUAUUAAGCGUCGGGCGAUACGUAUUAAUUAUGUGAAACUAGACGAGUUUAUUUUCGAAUAGAGAUUGAAAUAAAUCUAAUUAUUUUACUACAAAUAGGUGUACCUAAGUAUAGUAUGUCAAAGGACUUAAUAUAUAUUAACAUGAAAGGUAUUGAAAUCUGUAAUUUUAUAGUUUGGUAAACAAGUAAUUGUCAGUAAAAAACUGUUACGAAAAAGAGAGUACUGAGCUAUAACCGCGAAAAUAAAAAGUUCGCAAAUGGCGGGGAUCUUUCUCUUUUACUCCAAUGAAGGCAUAUAAUUUUUCAUUGCAGUAAAAGCGAAAGAUCCCCGCAAUUUGCGAAUUUCGGUUUUUGCGAUAGCCUCUCUGUUCUUUCUGCUUAAAAUGCUCCACUGAAAAACGACUCUUCCCAAACUAUAGAUUAAGUACAGGUAAGUAGUUUACCUAGUUUAUUUAAAAUUAGCAAAUACCUAAGUUAACAAUGUAACGUUAUGUCUGGUAUGGUCUGGCAAACCAAAUUUGUUAGAAGAAAAGGCAGCAAAUUGAAAAAAAAUUGGCGGGAAAAUUCUAUCUCCCAUAUGAAAUUUGAAUUUCGCAACUAAAUGCUUGGUUUGCCAGGCGAUAUUAGAUAUGUACCUGUAUUUGGAUACAUGUGGCCACUACAUGUGUAUAAGUGGGUGAAUCAACUUGUUUUACCACUUAUUGCCAUAGUUAUGGUUUUCUGAACUACAAAACAAUGGGUACUCAUCCCUUUCUUUUGGGUGCUAGUAUCAGCGUAACACUACAAAGACUCUUUCUGAAAGAUUAUUUGUCUAAAGUGUAAUUCUAUGGAACUUGCUAACUACUUAUGUAAACAAAAGUCACAAGUAAGUUCAUCAUUC
Cydia splendana is the source of this 7690-nucleotide long non-coding RNA. RefSeq lists it as uncharacterized. Lineage: Eukaryota; Metazoa; Arthropoda; Insecta; Lepidoptera; Tortricidae. The record is from RefSeq and is a predicted model, not a curated record. The transcript is spliced from 3 exons.